Molecule: ribosomal RNA, 253 nt
Filed under: uncultured bacterium
Lineage: Bacteria
Description: partial 16S ribosomal RNA
Rfam family: Bacterial small subunit ribosomal RNA
Source: RNAcentral
GACAGAGGUGCCGAGCGUUAGGCGGAAUCACUGGGCUUAAAGCGUGUGUAGGCGGGCCGUUAAGUAUCUUGUGAAAUCCCCCGGCUCAACCGGGGAAUGGCUGGAUAUACUGGCGGUCUUGAGCGAUCUAGGGGCAGAUGGAACAAGUGGUGGAGCGGUGAAAUGCGUAGAUAUCAUUUGGAACGCCAACGGCGAAAGCAGGCAGCUGGGGCUGCACCGACGCUGAGACACGAAAGCCAGGGGAGCGAACGGG